This 408-nucleotide ribosomal RNA is filed under the name uncultured bacterium. Its description in RNAcentral is "bacterial SSU rRNA". It matches the Rfam family "Bacterial small subunit ribosomal RNA", at positions 29 to 423 of the family's 1533-position model. The record is from RNAcentral.
AACGAACGUUAGCGGCGCGCCUAACACAUGCAAGUCGAGCGAGAAAGGGCUUCGGCCCCGGUAAAGCGGCGCACGGGUGAGUAACACGUGGGUAACCUGCCCUCGGGUUGGGGAUAACAUUCCGAAAGGAGUGCUAAUACCGAAUAAGACCACGACCUCGAAAGAGGAUGCGGUCAAAGCUGGCCUCUAUACAUAAGCUAGCGCCUGAGGAUGGGCCCGCGGCGCAUCAUGGUAGUUGGUGAGGUAACGGCUCACCAAGCCGAAGACGCGUAGCUGGUCUGAGAGGAUGAUCAGCCACACUGGAACUGAGACACGGUCCAGACUCCUACGGGAGGCAGCAGUGGGGAAUCUUGCGCAAUGGGCGAAAGCCUGACGCAGCGACGCCGCGUGAGUGAUGAAGGCCUCGGU